RNAcentral lists this long non-coding RNA (210 nucleotides) under Gossypium raimondii (Peruvian cotton). RNAcentral's name for it is "long non-coding RNA (GRAI_LNC002623)". The record is from RNAcentral. Lineage: Eukaryota; Viridiplantae; Streptophyta; Magnoliopsida; Malvales; Malvaceae.
CUUCUCUAUGGUUUCUGCAAGUUGUACUUUCAAUUUCACUAUCAAAUACCAAUGGUCCCAAUGGGUUUUUUCUAUUCAUAAACCAAAAGAACCUACCAGAAGUAAACAGAAGAAAAAAAAUUAGAAUGUAAAAACUAAACUAAAAACAAAAAAAUAAAAUAAAAUAAAAAUGGCUAAAUUAAUAAAAAUAAAGUGUUCCUAAUAGUUUAG